RNAcentral lists this non-coding RNA (100 nucleotides) under unclassified sequences. RNAcentral's name for it is "GP20-a RNA". It matches the Rfam family "GP20-a RNA". Rfam says of the family: gut metagenomes. Environment (Cow rumen (57)) The record is from RNAcentral.
UAUAGUUGAGCAUAACAACCAAUAAAGAUAUGCACAGUUCACACCGCAGACCGUAAUGCGGAUAUAUAAAUGACGGAUAUAAAGAAUUGUUGGAGGACAA